AGUGAACGCUGGCGGUAGGCCUAACACAUGCAAGUCGAACGGCAGCACAGUAAGAGCUUGCUCUUACGGGUGGCGAGUGGCGGACGGGUGAGGAAUACAUCGGAAUCUACUUUUUCGUGGGGGAUAACGUAGGGAAACUUACGCUAAUACCGCAUACGACCUACGGGUGAAAGCAGGGGAUCUUCGGACCUUGCGCGAUUGAAUGAGCCGAUGUCGGAUUAGCUAGUUGGCGGGGUAAAGGCCCACCAAGGCGACGAUCCGUAGCUGGUCUGAGAGGAUGGGAAGCCACGGUGGCAGGGAGACACGGACCAGUCCGGUGGGGGGGACCGGGGUGGGAAAUAUUGGACUGGGGGCAAGAGCCAGAGAGAGCCAUACCGCGAGGGUGAAGAAGGCCUGCGGGUUGUAAAGCUCUUUUGUGGGAAAAAAAAAGCAGCAGGUUAAUACCCCGCUGUUCUGGCGGUACAAAAAGAAUAAGAACCGGCAAACCGCG
RNAcentral lists this ribosomal RNA (490 nucleotides) under uncultured bacterium. RNAcentral's name for it is "partial 16S ribosomal RNA". It matches the Rfam family "Bacterial small subunit ribosomal RNA", at positions 30 to 505 of the family's 1533-position model. The record is from RNAcentral.